This 393-nucleotide ribosomal RNA is filed under the name uncultured bacterium. Its description in RNAcentral is "partial 16S ribosomal RNA". It matches the Rfam family "Bacterial small subunit ribosomal RNA", at positions 523 to 918 of the family's 1533-position model. The record is from RNAcentral.
AUACGGAGGAUGCGAGCGUUAUCCGGAUUUAUUGGGUUUAAAGGGAGCGUAGGUGGGAAAUUAAGCCCGCUGUGAAAGUCUGGGGCUCAACCUUAAAAUUGCAGUUGAUACUGGUUUCCUUGAGUACGGUACAGGUGGGCGGAAUUCGUGGUGAAGCGGGGAAAUGCUUAGAUAUCUCGAAGAAAUCCGAUCGCGAAGGCAGCUCACCGGGCCGGAACUGACACUGAUGCUCGAAAGUGCGGGUAUCAAACAGGAUUAGAUACCCUGGUAGUCCGCACAGUAAACGAUGAAUACUCGCUGUUUGCGAUACACGGUAAGCGGCCAAGCGAAAGCGUUAAGUAUUCCACCUGGGGAGUACGCCGGCAACGGUGAAACUCAAAGGAAUUGACGGGG